This 579-nucleotide ribosomal RNA is filed under the name uncultured bacterium. Its description in RNAcentral is "bacterial SSU rRNA". It matches the Rfam family "Bacterial small subunit ribosomal RNA", at positions 338 to 916 of the family's 1533-position model. The record is from RNAcentral.
CCUACGGGAGGCAGCAGUGGGGAAUAUUGGACAAUGGGCGAAAGCCUGAUCCAGCAAUUCCGCGUGUGUGAAGAAGGCCUUCGGGUUGUAAAGCACUUUAGUGGGGGAAGAAACAGCUUGGCCACACCAAGCCUUGACGGUACCCCAAGAAUAAGCACCGGCUAACUCUGUGCCAGCAGCCGCGGUAAUACAGAGGGUGCAAGCGUUAAUCGGAUUUACUGGGCGUAAAGGGUGCGUAGGUGGCUAUUUAAGUCGGAUGUGAAAGCCCGGGGCUCAACCUCGGAAUUGCAUUCGAUACUGAGUGGCUAGAGUUCGGUAGAGGGCGGCGGAAUUUCCGGUGUAGCGGUGAAAUGCGUAGAUAUCGGAAGGAACAUCAAUGGCGAAGGCAGCCGCCUGGGCCUGGACUGACACUGAGGCACGAAAGCGUGGGUAGCAAACAGGAUUAGAUACCCUGGUAGUCCACGCCGUAAACGAUGAGAACUUGACGUUGGUUCGCUUUACGAAUCGGUGUCGCAGCUAACGCGAUAAGUUCUCCGCCUGGGGAUACGGCCGCAAGGUUGAAACUUAAUGAAUUGACGG